UACGAAGGACCCGAGCGUUAUCCGGAUUUAUUGGGUUUAAAGGGUGCGCAGGCGGACUAAUAAGUCAGUGGUGAAAGCCUGAUGCUUAACAUCAGAACUGCCAUUGAUACUGCUAGUCUUGAGUACGGUUGAGGUGGGCGGAAUGUGUCAUGUAGCGGUGAAAUGCUUAGAUAUGACACAGAACACCAAUUGCGAAGGCAGCUCGCUAAACCGUAACUGACGCUGAGGCACGAAAGCGUGGGGAGCAAACAGGAUUAGAAACCCCCGUAGUCC
Molecule: ribosomal RNA, 273 nt
Filed under: uncultured bacterium
Lineage: Bacteria
Description: partial 16S ribosomal RNA
Rfam family: Bacterial small subunit ribosomal RNA
Source: RNAcentral